This is a non-coding RNA of Neolamprologus brichardi, 104 nucleotides long. NCBI's taxonomy places the organism in Eukaryota, Metazoa, Chordata, Actinopteri, Cichliformes, Cichlidae. The record is from RefSeq and is a predicted model, not a curated record.
GAGUGAUGAUGGAAAUGAAGAGGAAGAGGGUCCAGCCACUUCUCCAACAAACCUUUCCUCACUCCCUGUAAAGCAGCUGUACAAGACCUAUUUGAUCAAGAAAA